AACGAACGCUGGCGGCAUGCCUAACACAUGCAAGUCGAACGAGACCUUCGGGUCUAGUGGCGCACGGGUGCGUAACGCGUGGGAACCUGCCCUUAGGUUCGGAAUAACUCCCCGAAAGGGGUGCUAAUACCGGAUAAUGUCUUCGGACCAAAGAUUUAUCGCCUCUGGAUGGGCCCGCGUUGGAUUAGCUAGUUGGUAGGGUAAAAGCCUACCAAGGCGACGAUCCAUAGCUGGUCGGGGAGGAGGAUCAGCCACACUGGGACUGAGACACGGCCCAGACUCCUACGGGAGGCAGCAGUGGGGAAUAUUGGACAAUGGGCGAAAGCCUGAUCCAGCAAUGCCGCGUGAGUGAUGAAGGCCUUAGGGUUGUAAAGCUCUUUUACCCGGGAUGAUAAUGACAGUACCGGGAGAAUAGGCUCCGGCAAACUCCGU
Molecule: ribosomal RNA, 432 nt
Filed under: uncultured bacterium
Lineage: Bacteria
Description: partial 16S ribosomal RNA
Rfam family: Bacterial small subunit ribosomal RNA
Source: RNAcentral